This is a long non-coding RNA of Conger conger (European conger), 1693 nucleotides long. RefSeq lists it as uncharacterized. The record is from RefSeq and is a predicted model, not a curated record. The transcript has 2 exons. NCBI's taxonomy places the organism in Eukaryota, Metazoa, Chordata, Actinopteri, Anguilliformes, Congridae.
CUGUAGGUUGGGGACUCGCCCAUAAAGAAAGGCCCAUCACAUGAUGAUAGCUUCGCGCCUCUUUCGUAAACCUUUUCGACCCUGUAGAGAUUUCCAGCAGUAUAUCAGAGGAAAUGUUCCGAUUGCAGAAGCCGGCCACGGAAGAUUUCUGUAAAUUCUGCAAUUCAAUUCGGUGAAGAGCUUAACCUGUGGGCAAUCCUGACUCCUUCGAAUAGGCCUAAAUGCAUCGUCUUGCUGUUUUCUUUAAAACUUUCUUUAAAAAAGUUCAUUUUCUUCAUCCCUCUGAAGACUGAAUUGUGAGGAUUCACCUUGCAGCAGACCUCCUCAUAAGGUGCAUCUAGUGUAGUCAGUGAAAUAGCCUAGAAUCUACUGCGCUAGGUGCUCCUUCUGGCAGGAGGUACUGCACUCUCCUCGGGCGUGACGCUCCGUACCUCCCCUGUAGGUACGGCUCUCAUGCGGCUAUCCCCACAGACAUCAUUUCAAACCAUUCUUCAAUAGCCGUGCAGGUGUAGUUAUUAUCCUGGGUUUGCCUGGGUACCCUGUUCCAGACGUGGCAUUGAGUUUCUGUGCAUGUCUGAAAGGUUUACCAGCUCUAGAAAAAUCUGUGCUGUGAACAGGGAUAAGAAUUUUUAUUUUUUUAAAUUUAUUUUAUUUUGCUAAUGUAUUAAAUUGCAUGAAUCUGAAUAACCAAAAGUAUUUGUACUAUUGUUAGUUUGGCAGGGAGAAAGUACUAAAGUGUUCCACCUGUGGCAGCCUGUGACUCAUCCUGUGCAGAGUACAUUUUCCCUGCAGUUAAACUGUUCCAGUGUAGUUUGCAACCACUGGUUCUGGUCCUUGGUGCGAGGCACUACCUGUAGGUUUAUCCUAGUCCUCAGGAAAACAUGCAAGUUUAAGUUUGUACGUUUAUUUAAUAUAAAUAGCCCUUCUGCUUAAAAGCAAGUAGCUGUUGUUACUGUGGGAGUACUGAGGCUAGCAGCAGACCUGGUAGUUGAUCUUUGAAGCUUGGAUGAUGUUCCAGACCUAAGGAGUGAGUGAUUGGGAGUAAAUUGUCCACCCUGUGAAAGACCCUUUAGUUGUAGUCUGUGCAGUUCCAAAGUGCUCACAGUGCAGGUAGUACUGUUUGCUCUACUGCAGUGUGUGCACUUGCAGUAUUGCCAGGCCCUCUCCCCUGAACCCCAUCAGAUCCCCGCCUUUCCCCUGCUGUCUUACACACUCAGGUUCACAGCGAGUUUUGCAGGAUUGCAUCCAGUUUGAAAAUCCCUGCUGUGCAAAUCCAUGCAAAACUCGUCGUGCCCGGGACUCCGCUGCUGGAAAGAAGUGACGUUUUGGAAAAUGCAAAAAAAAGAAGAAAAAAUAAUUAUAUGUAUGUAUCAGAUAUGCAAUCAUUGUCAAUGUUACUGUCAAGUAAAAAGGUGCCAUUCUUUUGCCCACUGCUUAGAGAACUGUGUGAGACCUCGUGUUUGGGUGGGUGUAUGCUGGGAUGUUGAAAUGUUUGUCUCGCUGUUUCCGGGUGGAUGACUUUGCAAUUUUAAUGAUUCGUGAAAACCUCCAAAAAAUUGCACGGUAUCCAUCUGUAAUCCGCCAGAUGUUCUGAUCUGCAGGGGUUUCUUUUUGUAAUUCAUCUUCCCUCUGCCUCUGCUGUUCUUCACUUUUAGAUAAAUGUGCUUGUUUAAAAUAAAUUGUGAUUCUUUGC